CGCUAGAUGGUAUCGUGUCAUAAGACAUCUAGCGGACACAUUUUGAACUUCUAUCAUUGUCUUCCGUUUUUUCUACAUGAUCAUGAAGAAUGGAUGGUGUUUGUGUGGACUAAGAUCCCUAUUUUUUGUGUUUUCGAAGAAUUAUUUAGCUAAAAUCUAAUGAGUUGGAGGAAGAUCAAUGUCACAUAUUCUGUAGAAUGGAAUACCACCAAUGGCUUCGAGUACUAUUUGUAACCACAGCUGACUGUUACAGUUUUGUGAUACAUCCAUUUGACAACUGCAGAGUUUCCCUCUUCUAUAUGGUGCCAACCAUCAACCAUCAUCAUUUCAGCAUCCUUUGGCUCAUCUUCAGUUAGCCAGCCAUCGGUUAAUUACAUCACCCCAUUUUGGAUAGGAAAAUGUUCAUCUAUGUAUUGCUGUAAAAUGGCUGUUCCUACACUUUGUCCAGUCUUUACCAUCCAUAGACUUAAUAUUAUUUUAAAAUCUUCAUUCCUGCACUUUUCCGUCUUAGUCUGUGCCCCGUCUACGGAUCAUCGUCGCUUCGCCAGGUCUUCGCAUCGUUUCCAUUUCGUCGCCAGUUUCUCCGUCGUCUCCUCGCCCAUCGCCUUCGUCUCAUUGCCGCCCUUGCUCUUGCAUUCGCCAUCGUCUCAUCGCCGUUUUUGCCUUCGUCGUAUCUCCGUCAGAUUGAACAAUCAGAUCCAGUAAAAAAAAACCCAUGGCGAUCGAGCGUGACCUCACCGUGGAACUUCUCGGGGACCGAGCGCACUGCUCUACCCCAUGGCCAAGGGGUAGGGCAGUGCUCCGCCGCAAGGCGGUUAGGCAAUGCACCAGUAGGGAAUUCUCUUUGUUCGAUGCGGUGAUGGUUUUCUGAGGGUGUGCAUUCCCUGUAAAGGUUUCCAUCGCCGUGUCAGCCCGGACUUGUCUUCGGACAAGGUCCCCCUUGGUCGGCGAUCCUUCAGACGCGAGACGUAGCUACUGUAGUUUCAGCAACCUACGGAUUGCAUGGCCUGGCAGCCAACGGGUUAACUAGUUUGUUGUAUGUGUAUGCAUUUAUAUUUGUUUAUAUAUAUGUAUUGUUUUGUAUGUAAAAUAGUGGUGGAAUUGUGGGUGGAGGAGGGACA
Long non-coding RNA from Daphnia magna, 1121 nucleotides. RefSeq lists it as uncharacterized. The transcript has 5 exons. The record is from RefSeq and is a predicted model, not a curated record. Lineage: Eukaryota; Metazoa; Arthropoda; Branchiopoda; Diplostraca; Daphniidae.